Molecule: ribosomal RNA, 253 nt
Filed under: uncultured bacterium
Lineage: Bacteria
Description: partial 16S ribosomal RNA
Rfam family: Bacterial small subunit ribosomal RNA
Source: RNAcentral
GACGUAGGGCGCGAGCGUUGUCCGGAAUUAUUGGGCGUAAAGAGCUCGUAGGCGGCUUGUUGCGUCGGCUGUGAAAUCCCGGAGCUCAACUCCGGGCCUGCAGUGGGUACGGGCAGACUAGAGUGCGGUAGGGGAGAUUGGAAUUCCUGGUGUAGCGGUGGAAUGCGCAGAUAUCAGGAGGAACACCGAUGGCGAAGGCAGAUCUCUGGGCCGUAACUGACGCUGAGGAGCGACAGCAUGGGGAGCAAACAGG